UCUCCACGCUGCGCGUGGCGAAUUGUAAUCUAGAGAGUUCAUGCUCAAAUUGAGGUGGCGCAGAAGUUCCUGGAAUGGAACGCCAUAGAGGGUGAUAGCCCCGUACGUGGUGCCGCCUCUAAACGAGCUGGGCUUCAAAGAGUCGGGUUGUUUUGUAUUGCAGCCCUAAGUGGGAGAUAAACUUCUUCUAAGGCUAAAUAUAUGUGGGAAACCGAUAGCGAACAAGUACUGUGAAGGAAAGAUGAAAAGCACUUUGGAAAGAGAGUCAAAAGACCUGAAACCGUUGAGGAGGAAGCGGUAGAGAUGUAUUCUACGGUAGUUAGCUGAAAACUCAGCCUAAGCAUAUUGCGGGUGAUGUACGUCAAAGGCAUCCUUGUAAUCUAGUGGAAGCUGAUAAUUUGCUGAAUAUCGUGAGGCCGGAUGGGGUCGCGUGAUCACAAAGGCCUGGCAGGCUUGGGGCUUUCGGGCUCAGCCUGUUGGUGCCGGUGGCUGCGUGGCCUGAGGGUGCCUUGUGCGAUCCGGUCAAAAUGGUCUUUACCGACUCGUCUUGAAACACGAACCAAGGAGUCUA
This 571-nucleotide ribosomal RNA is filed under the name uncultured Strombidium. Its description in RNAcentral is "partial large subunit ribosomal RNA". It matches the Rfam family "Eukaryotic large subunit ribosomal RNA", at positions 121 to 677 of the family's 3401-position model. Lineage: Eukaryota; Ciliophora; Spirotrichea; Strombidiidae. The record is from RNAcentral.